AGGACGGUUAGCCAUAGUUCAGCAUUAGCAUUAGCAUAUCCUAGUCUUUAGCAUAGCUUUUAGUGUUAUACAUACUUAUUUAGUGUUAGUGUGCCUGGUGCUGUAGUUUGCAACCAGCAUUUUACCCGCGAUUCUGCACGUCUCCGUUUGAAGAGGGAGGCCGUGCCCACCGUGGCUCUUCCGCGAUUUAGAUGCAGCCCACCGACUCUGCUCCCCCACCACGGCGGGCUCCAGUCUGAGACUAAAUCUGCCCAAGACAUUGGCUGUCAGACUGAUUUAGUAGUCUGCAAGAAUGCACUUGUCCAGGCUGACAUGAAGCCUUACCGGCAUAGCAAAGCCAGCCAGAAGAGCUCCCAGCUGCUGUGUGUCUGGUGACACAGGGACCAUGACGGAAAUUCAUCUUCCAGAAAGUCCCAGAGCAGCGUCCACACCCCUGACGAUGUGAGGUGUCUGCUGUAGAUUCCAGCUUCCACCUCAGUGACAGUGCAAGCUCAGUGAACUGUUCAAGGAGUCUACUGAUUCUGGCCCUGUGACACUUGGUGGUGACGUGUGAGCUGAUUCACCUGGACACUCAGCAAAAUAUGGACUACACCAUGAGGCAGGCACACGUUAAUACUUAUAAGAGCACAUAAGCCUGGCUGAUCACCUGAUAACUACUGUCAUCUGGUUGUGACAGCAUGAGGAUGUCCUCACAUACCUGUAACCUAUCAGCUCAUCUGGCAGAAUAGAGAGAGAAGAAACAACACCACAUCUCCUGUUCCUGGAAAGCCUUCAGCCAUCCUUCGAUGACUGAGGACCUCCAUCAGCUCUGUCUCCUGUCUGCCUACAAUUAUUAUAAUAAAUAAUGUGUUUGACAAGUUU
Nothobranchius furzeri (turquoise killifish) is the source of this 861-nucleotide long non-coding RNA. RefSeq lists it as uncharacterized. The record is from RefSeq and is a predicted model, not a curated record. NCBI's taxonomy places the organism in Eukaryota, Metazoa, Chordata, Actinopteri, Cyprinodontiformes, Nothobranchiidae.